GGCGGGACACGUGGUAUCCUGUCUGAAUAUGGGGGGACCAUCCUCCAAGGCUAAAUACUCCUGACUGACCGAUAGUGAACCAGUACCGUGAGGGAAAGGCGAAAAGAACCCCGGCGAGGGGAGUGAAAAAGAACCUGAAACCGUGUACGUACAAGCAGUGGGAGCACAGGUUUACCUGUGUGACUGCGUACCUUUUGUAUAAUGGGUCAGCGACUUAUAUUCUGUAGCAAGGUUAACCGUAUAGGGGAGCCGGAGGGAAACCGAGUCUUAAUUGGGCGUUAAGUUGCAGGGUAUAGACCCGAAACCCGGUGAUCUAGCCAUGGGCAGGUUGAAGGUUGGGUAACACUAACUGGAGGACCGAACCGACUAAUGUUGAAAAAUUAGCGGAUGACCUGUGGCUGGGGGUGAAAGGCCAAUCAAACCGGGAGAUAGCUGGUUCUCCCCGAAAGCUAUUUAGGUAGCGCCUCGUGAAUUCAUCUCCGGGGGUAGAGCACUGUUUCGGCUAGGGGGCCAUCCCGGCUUACCAACCCGAUGCAAACUGCGAAUACCGGAGAAUGUUAUCACGGGAGACACACGGCGGGUGCUAACGUCCGUCGUGAAGAGGGAAACAACCCAGACCGCCAGCUAAGGUCCCAAAGUCAUGGUUAAGUGGGAAACGAUGUGGGAAGGCCCAGACAGCCAGGAUGUUGGCUUAGAAGCAGCCAUCAUUUAAAGAAAGCGUAAUAGCUCACUGGUCGAGUCGGCCUGCGCGGAAGAUGUAACGGGGCUAAACCAUGCACCGAAGCUGCGGCAGCGACGCUUAUGCGUUGUUGGGUAGGGGAGCGUUCUGUAAGCCUGUGAAGGUGUGUCGUGAGGCAUGCUGGAGGUAUCAGAAGUGCGAAUGCUGACAUAAGUAACGAUAAAGCGGGUGAAAAGCCCGCUCGCCGGAAGACCAAGGGUUCCUGUCCAACGUUAAUCGGGGCAGGGUGAGUCGACCCCUAAGGCGAGGCCGAAAGGCGUAGUCGAUGGGAAACGGGUUAAUAUUCCCGUACUUGGUGUUACUGCGAAGGGGGGACGGAGAAGGCUAUGUUGGCCGGGCGACGGUUGUCCCGGUUUAAGCGUGUAGGUGUGUGUUCCAGGUAAAUCCGGUUCACUUUAACACUGAGGCGUGAUGACGAGGCACUACGGUGCUGAAGUAACAAAUGCCCUGCUUCCAGGAAAAGCCUCUAAGCAUCAGGUAACAUCAAAUCGUACCCCAAACCGACACAGGUGGUCAGGUAGAGAAUACCAAGGCGCUUGAGAGAACUCGGGUGAAGGAACUAGGCAAAAUGGUGCCGUAACUUCGGGAGAAGGCACGCUGACACGUAGGUGAAGUGAUUUACUCACGGAGCUGAAGUCAGUCGAAGAUACCAGCUGGCUGCAACUGUUUAUUAAAAACACAGCACUGUGCAAACACGAAAGUGGACGUAUACGGUGUGACGCCUGCCCGGUGCCGGAAGGUUAAUUGAUGGGGUCAGCGCAAGCGAAGCUCCUGAUCGAAGCCCCGGUAAACGGCGGCCGUAACUAUAACGGUCCUAAGGUAGCGAAAUUCCUUGUCGGGUAAGUUCCGACCUGCACGAAUGGCGUAAUGAUGGCCAGGCUGUCUCCACCCGAGACUCAGUGAAAUUGAACUCGCUGUGAAGAUGCAGUGUACCCGCGGCAAGACGGAAAGACCCCGUGAACCUUUACUAUAGCUUGACACUGAACAUUGAGCCUUGAUGUGUAGGAUAGGUGGGAGGCUUUGAAGUGUGGACGCCAGUCUGCAUGGAGCCGACCUUGAAAUACCACCCUUUAAUGUUUGAUGUUCUAACGUGGACCCGUUA
This 1841-nucleotide ribosomal RNA is filed under the name Salmonella enterica. RNAcentral describes it as "partial 23S ribosomal RNA". It matches the Rfam family "Bacterial large subunit ribosomal RNA", at positions 416 to 2238 of the family's 2925-position model. The record is from RNAcentral. Lineage: Bacteria; Pseudomonadati; Pseudomonadota; Gammaproteobacteria; Enterobacterales; Enterobacteriaceae.